This 253-nucleotide ribosomal RNA is filed under the name uncultured bacterium. RNAcentral's name for it is "partial 16S ribosomal RNA". It matches the Rfam family "Bacterial small subunit ribosomal RNA", at positions 524 to 776 of the family's 1533-position model. The record is from RNAcentral.
UACAGAGGGGGCAAGCGUUAUUCGGAAUUAUUGGGCGUAAAGGGCGCGUAGGCGGCUUUGCAAGUGGCGGGUGAAAUCCCUCGGCUUAACCGAGGAACUGCCUGCCAGACUGUGAGGCUUGAGACCGGGAGAGGUGAGUGGAAUUCCCAGUGUAGCGGUGAAAUGCGCAGAUAUCAGGAGGAACACCGAUGGCGAAGGCAGCUCGCUGGGACGGUACUGACGCUGAGGCGCGAAAGCGUGGGGAGCAAACAGG